RNAcentral lists this unclassified non-coding RNA (3727 nucleotides) under Yarrowia lipolytica. Lineage: Eukaryota; Fungi; Ascomycota; Dipodascomycetes; Dipodascales. The record is from RNAcentral.
GGAAAUGCCGUGGAAGUCGGAAACGGAAGCCGUUGACGGGCGACCAAAGCGAGAGAGGCCCGGGAAAACGGUCGAGUCGGAGAAAAGCGGGAACUCGGGGAUUUGGGGGAUUCGGGGACACGGAUAUCGACAAACACUCGAAAGAGUGAUCCACAACAUAUACAACAUCUACAACCACCAACCAUCUAGACCUGUCUUGUCCUCCUCAAUGACUUGCUUUUGCCCUACAAUAUCUCUGACAACGAUGUUUGCUUUUUUCCACGCUAGACUUUUUCGCGCGCUCUUGUUUGGGACCCCACACUCUCCGCCGGUCUCCUCAACGUCUACACCUGCCCCCAGGGGCCAGAUUCAGGGUGCAUAGCCGUGUCGACAGGGCCAGGAAUGUGUGGAGAAACUGUGGAGAAGGCUGGUUUGAGCAGAUUUGAGCGGGUUUGGAGAGCAGAUAUUUUUCCACAAACAAAUGACGCAAAGUCAUAAUAAAAUAUCGACAACGCGUUCGAGUUGCGAACGCGUUCGUCUACAAAGGUGUCAGCAGUCGUGUACUAAAGCAGCCAUCUCAUCGCUACAAGACGUUACAUGUUCACAUAGUAACACAGCUGUAAACUGCGCGCUGUUGGAGAUUGACCGCGGUACAAUGGUAUCCAGAAAAGUUGAGUAAAACGUUUCUACAAUGCCUCCCUGUACGUUUGCGGCGGUUGAGUGGGCGUACAAGGUGAGAGAGUACAGUAUGGUUAUCUGUGGCUGAUAUCAGACGUUCAAAUGGAGAGUCUGGAUGUUGCUAUCUCCACGGAUACCGUCCAGGGUACAGCAGUGUAUGGUCUGUACCGACAAUGAACCGACUACGCACCGGCUACGAGUGGACCGCACCACUGGCUUGUUGUUCAAUGCAAUUGUCGUACAAUACCGGUUCCGUACCCGUACCUACAGCACUGCCCGCGAACAAUAACAUAAUGCCUCAGAUCGUUACACCUGUUCCUACAAACUUCCAAGAAUACCCCACCCACGUCCACAUGGCAAGGCUGGCCCAACAGAAUCUUGAUGGUUCUGCAAAGACUCCCCCAAGGAACCCCCUGAAGCUCCUGUUGAACUCUGCGGGCUCCUCCCUGGCCGCUGGCUCGUUGUAGAUAAUGCAAGGCCCUGUCAGUUACGCCAGUUCCGCAUGCCGGUGCAAAUAAGCGUCGUUGGCGGCAACUUUGGAGACGCAAAGUCGAACCAUGUCAUAGCCCCACCAUCCCACCUACCUAUCGAGUUGAUCCGAUUCAUCCCCUCAAAGAUAGAGCGAGGUUAGUGGAUCGAAGUGUUCAGGGCGCCAUGUUAGGGUGUGGAACCAGAGUGUUAGGGAGUCAAGUAGACAUACUCCUGGUCGGUCUUUCGGUUUUUGUUUGCCGCCACGUGACAUGACCUCAUGACCGCCAGGUACACGGUCUCCACUAUCCAGCAGCCAACAUGUCUAUUGUUCCACCAACAACCCUCAAACAUCACCAGACUGGCAAGCAACUCAUUGCAUUGGGCUGCUUUAGCGAAAAACCCAAAUCGAAGCGGGAGCGGGGAUUUGAGGGGCUGUGGAGACAGACACUAUGUGAUUGUGGUUUUGAGAGAAAGUCACGUGGAGCGGAGAAAUCGACGAAAUUGCUCUUGGAGGACGCUGUCACGUGAUUCGAGCGCCAUUCUUGCGACCGCAGCUAACACUGUUUCCAGACCGUUGCGAUCUUGGCGUCUCAGUUGCCGUGCCAUCAUCAAGCCCGUUUGUAUUGUAUUUUUCAUCAGAGUUCGCCGGGGUGGCCAGGGGCGUCGAGUGGGGCAGCAAUGUAAACAGACAAGCUGAACCAUGGACACGACUGAAUGUUAUCGGUGAGUGUAUCGUUCGACGAGUGGUUCAGGGUUGCGACAAUUUCGAUCGAGUCGUCAACAAGGCCUACAAGUAGGUGGCUUGUGGUUGGAUGGGAUUUACAGUACGAAUUACGAGUGCGCUUCCGAGCGGUGGCUUGAAUUCAAUCUGGUAGGAGAGGAGGUCGGUUGGUGGUGACUACGAAUGGUACUUGCUGUAGUCAUACUCGUGCCCAAUCUAACCGCGAGCUAUGGCAGGAGACAAUGGCUGCUGCUACGAGUAGUCACUAAAGGAUUCAAUCAAGGCAGCAAGAACAUGGUGGAUCUCCGCUUCAGAGUCUGAGUGAGCCGCCAACAAGGUCAAAGUACAAAAUGAGUGCGAGUACAGUACAUAUUGUGCUUGUAGACGAUGAUUACGAGGAUAACACAACAUCUCGACGUCCUUUUUGACCGAAUACAGCUGCUUGUACGAGGUCUUUUCAGAUAUGGAAGCUUGAGGCUUUUAGUCACCCUUGUCACCAUUAGUCACCACUUCCCCGUCUCUCAGUCUCACUCUUCGACCGACAAAGUCUCUUGCAACUCCGUGUAGAUUGAUCUGAUGAACAUGGGUGCAGGACAACAUCAGACAUCAGUCUAAAGAUGCUCACCGGUCUGAUUGCACCAUAAUGAGGUCAUAACCUAUACAUGUUCUUGGUGUUCUUGGUGUCCUUGGUCCUAUAAACCUCGGCUCGUCAAUCCUGGCUCGUCAACCCGGCUAAUCCUGCCCUGCACGAGUUCGCGCAUCGACACUACAUUAUCGUAUUGUCUCAACUGUGUCUUGGCGAUCUCCGUAGAUCCUCGCUACUGCACUUGCAGAGUUUCUGAGUACGAUAAUGACUAGACCAUGCGGUAUGAACAAGGCUAUUGGCAGCUGAAAGUCAGAGCACGGUAUUGGUAGAUUCAUCGGCUGCAGCCAUUUGGUUAGGCCGGAUCUUUCUUCUGUCCUCUCGAGCCGAAGCCGUCGAAUCACGCACCAACAGUGCUUGCUCUCACUCUCUCUUGUCCACCACCUUUUGCUGUGUCCAUUAGUCUCACUCUCCAGACUCUUGGUGUCACGUUUGCAGCUGCCGAAACCCUAUCUAGCCAGUCCAACCACAAUCUCUUUAUAUUCCUUCUUCCCACAGUUGAUUCGGCACUCGACCUGAUCGACACUGCACCUCUGAGAGGCAACUGGAGAGAGAGAGAGACUGUAGAGUUGCCGAGGCCCAUGAUGGUGGUCCUGCACGUGUAGACUUUUGUCAAGGGACGUAGAAUGGGAAGAAAACGUGCAAAACGGAAACGGCAAGAGAAAAUCAAAUCUACGCACUCUCUAAACCACCUUUAUCAACUUUGAACUCCCCAAAACCUCCUCCAAACUCCCCCAAACCCCCCCUAGAAUCGUCCCCGACCCUUCGACCCCCCACACUCUAAUUUCGCUAAGCUCCAACCUACUCUCUCGCUUACCUCUCUGGCAGUCUAAAUCUGUUCAGACAGUGUAUAUUUUCGGGCGAAACUGGCGCAGCUGUCCACAGCCCCUUUACAGAGCCCUACAGUGGCAAAUACUCAACUGUACCGAAAACUCCCGACGUCUGAAACCCACAUAUACAGUUUCAUACAGGCAUGCAUGCGACAAGGCAGACCCAGAGCCGAUAGACCGACAGAGCUCGUCUGCAGACGUCGAGUACGAGUACCUGUCUUCACAUGGGGUAUCCUACAGAACCGUUGGCACAUGUUAGGGGCGGAAAGCGGAAAGCGGAAAGCGGAAAGCCGGAAAGGGCGGAAGGACAGGUUUCGUGUGUUGAUACUACAUGUGGAUACGAUUGUCUGUUACUGGCUCCCGAUGCAGUACAGUUGUUAGGUCGCUCUUGCCGUCUAUAAUAUA